Molecule: long non-coding RNA, 123 nt
Organism: Chiroxiphia lanceolata (lance-tailed manakin)
Lineage: Eukaryota; Metazoa; Chordata; Aves; Passeriformes; Pipridae
Exons: 3
Source: RefSeq, a predicted model, not a curated record
AACCUGUGAUAUUUUUAGGAACUCAGAGGUGUUGUGGUCCCCAGGAAGUGUUGCCCAGGACUAGGCAGGAGACUUCAGGCUUUGUCACCCCCAGAGCGAGGGUCCGGGGGCAGGCGAGUGGGG